AUCGAACGCUGGCGGCAGGCCUAACACAUGCAAGUCGAGCGGUAGCACAGAGAGCUUGCUCUCGGGUGACGAGCGGCGGACGGGUGAGUAAUGUCUGGGAAACUGCCUGAUGGAGGGGGAUAACUACUGGAAACGGUAGCUAAUACCGCAUAACGUCGCAAGACCAAAGUGGGGGACCUUCGGGCCUCAUGCCAUCAGAUGUGCCCAGAUGGGAUUAGCUAGUAGGUGGGGUAAUGGCUCACCUAGGCGACGAUCCCUAGCUGGUCUGAGAGGAUGACCAGCCACACUGGAACUGAGACACGGUCCAGACUCCUACGGGAGGCAGCAGUGGGGAAUAUUGCACAAUGGGCGCAAGCCUGAUGCAGCCAUGCCGCGUGUAUGAAGAAGGCCUUCGGGUUGUAAAGUACUUUCAGCGAGGAGGAAGGCGUUAAGGUUAAUAACCUUGGCGAUUGACGUUACUCGCAGAAGAAGCACCGGCUAACUCCGUGCCAGCAGCCGCGGUAAUACGGAGGGUGCAAGCGUUAAUCGGAAUUACUGGGCGUAAAGCGCACGCAGGCGGUCUGUUAAGUCAGAUGUGAAAUCCCCGGGCUCAACCUGGGAACUGCAUUUGAAACUGGCAGGCUUGAGUCUUGUAGAGGGGGGUAGAAUUCCAGGUGUAGCGGUGAAAUGCGUAGAGAUCUGGAGGAAUACCGGUGGCGAAGGCGGCCCCCUGGACAAAGACUGACGCUCAGGUGCGAAAGCGU
This 743-nucleotide ribosomal RNA is filed under the name uncultured bacterium. Its description in RNAcentral is "bacterial SSU rRNA". It matches the Rfam family "Bacterial small subunit ribosomal RNA", at positions 28 to 762 of the family's 1533-position model. The record is from RNAcentral.